CCUACGGGAUGCAGCAGUGAGGAAUAUUGGUCAAUGGGCGCGAGCCUGAACCAGCCAAGUCGCGUGAGGGAUGACGGCCCUACGGGUUGUAAACCUCUUUUGCCGGGGAGCAACGGGCGUCACGUGUGGCGCCACUGAGAGGACCCGGAGAAACAGCAUCGGCUAACUCCGUGCCAGCAGCCGCGGUAAUACGGAGGAUGCGGGCUUUAUCCGGAGUUAUUGGGUUUAAAGGGUGCGUAGGCGGAUCGUUAAGUCAGUGGUCAAAUUGAGGGGCUCAACCCCUUCCCGCCAUUGAAACUGGCGUUCUUGAGUGGAAGAGAAGUAUGCGGAAUGCGUGGUGUAGCGGUGAAAUGCAUAGAUAUCACGCAGAACCCCGAUUGCGAAGGCAGCAUGCCGGCUUCCGACUGACGCUGAAGCACGAAAGCGUGGGGAUCGAACAGGAUUAGAUACCCCUGUAGUC
Molecule: ribosomal RNA, 460 nt
Filed under: uncultured bacterium
Lineage: Bacteria
Description: partial 16S ribosomal RNA
Rfam family: Bacterial small subunit ribosomal RNA
Source: RNAcentral